AUGGGUGCCCCGACGUUGCCCCCUGCCUGGCAGCCCUUUCUCAAGGACCACCGCAUCUCUACAUUCAAGAACUGGCCCUUCUUGGAGGGCUGCGCCUGCACCCCGGAGCGGGAGAGAGCUCUGUUAGCAGAAUGAAAAAAUUGGAAGCCAGAUUCAGGGAGGGACUGGAAGCAAAAGAAUUUCUGUUCGAGGAAGAGCCUGAUGUUUGCCAGGGUCUGUUUAACUGGACAUGAAGAGGAAGGCUCUGGACUUUCCUCCAGGAGUUUCAGGAGAAAGGCAAAGGAAACCAACAAUAAGAAGAAAGAAUUUGAGGAAACUGCGGAGAAAGUGCGCCGUGCCAUCGAGCAGCUGGCUGCCAUGGAUUGAGGCCUCUGGCCGGAGCUGCCUGGUCCCAGAGUGGCUGCACCACUUCCAGGGUUUAUUCCCUGGUGCCACCAGCCUUCCUGUGGGCCCCUUAGCAAUGUCUUAGGAAAGGAGAUCAACAUUUUCAAAUUAGAUGUUUCAACUGUGCUCUUGUUUUGUCUUGAAAGUGGCACCAGAGGUGCUUCUGCCUGUGCAGCGGGUGCUGCUGGUAACAGUGGC
This 582-nucleotide unclassified non-coding RNA is filed under the name Homo sapiens (human). Its description in RNAcentral is "partial baculoviral IAP repeat containing 5 transcript variant 9". Lineage: Eukaryota; Metazoa; Chordata; Mammalia; Primates; Hominidae. The record is from RNAcentral.